Molecule: long non-coding RNA, 1419 nt
Filed under: Sus scrofa (pig)
Lineage: Eukaryota; Metazoa; Chordata; Mammalia; Artiodactyla; Suidae
Description: lncRNA (ENSSSCG00060047998.1)
Source: RNAcentral
ACUCGGAGCCGCGGCCGCCGCCGCCGCAGCCAACUCGGGCCCAAGUUCCCGGCCGCGGCGGAGAGGAGCGCGCAGCCGGCGACCCGAGCCCUGCGCCAGGGCCCAGCCUCCUCUGCUCGGCCACCGCCCGCGCCCCGCCUCCGCCCUGCAGGCUCGGUCCGGGCGCUGCGCGGGAGCCUCGGGCAGGGAGCGCGGGCUCGGCGGGAGCGACUGGCCGAAGCCCGGAGCCGGGCGGACGUUCGGUGGGACCCGAGCGCAGCGCGAAGAGUCGGUGUACCGGUCACCCCGGCCCCGCGGGCACUCGAAGGGCCGGGCCGGGCGAAGAGCGAGCCGGAGCCCGCGGGCCUGACAAGCCGCGGACGCGCAGGUAUGGGGAGGCUGGAUCCAUUUUUACUGCUGUUGACAUGGUGCCCUGUGGCCUGAGCUUGACCAUCCUGGGUUCAGAGAGCCCCCACUCACUUCUUUGAGGGCACCUUCCUGGACACCCAUCUUCUUGUGGUGCAGAAGGGAGCUGGGCUGGGGUACGGAGUCCGCUGGUGAGUGGCUGGCUGAUUGAGGGGAGGAGUCUUCAUAUCUGGAGAAGAGGGUACCUUCUCAGCUGCUGAGAACUGGAGGGAGAAAUUUACAAGUACCAGGCGAAGCACAGGCAGAGGCUCUCAACCAAAUUCCUUUCUGUGCAAAAAAGGUUGAGGGAUCAGUAGUAGGGCUUGACCAAUGAAAGUAGGAGGUUGAUUCAUCUUUCCCAGAUAUAUUCUCAGGUGUACCCAGUUCGGGAUGAGGACAAGAGGCCCAUGAUCUUAACUUCCAAAUGUUAAUUUACCAGCCUUUCGUCAAGCGUGUAUUUAACCUUUAAAGUAAAACCAAAACAGCAAAGCGGAGAAGCCUCUGGUUACAGUUGGUAGGACUACUUUUCAUAGUAAAUGAAAGAUGUGAGCACAAAGCCUAAGACUUAGGUGCCCAGAUUUUUACUGGUCUGCACAGCCAGGCGGUCUCUUGGAAGAAGGGAAACAAUCUAAGAACUCAGCUUGUGGAAGCUUCCAGUGCUGUAGAGGCAAAUGCUAAAUGAGAAAGCUGACCCUAAUUCAGAGUCCUUUCCUGCUAGGGUUCACACAUUUUCCCCCCAGGCAAUAAGCACUGUAACCUAAGAGGAAGGAAAGAGAUCCACACCUUCCCCAAAGAAAAGGAAGAUGGAUCUCGUGUCAGGCUCCAUUAGACCCACUUGCGCCAGCUCUCCAAGGAGGAACAAUGCCGCUUUUGUGAUAGGCCCCAGCAGCGAGUUUGGAAACUUUACAAAACAAUCUUACCCAAGAGAAACCUGGUUCCAGCUCUCUUCCUGGAAAGAGGUGUUGAUCCAAGAAAGUUUAAUGCUGCUCUUAUCAGCUCUUCCUGGGAUCAGUGUUAAAAAAAAAAAAAAAAAAA